GAAAACCCUAAACAAUAUUCACGCACACAACAAGCAGACCCCCUCUCUCUCUCUCUCUCUCGUGUCUUGACUGGCGACCGGAGAUCGGAGCUUCGGCGCCACGUUUUUCUCCGGCGAAUCACUCACCUAUACACCCACACCCUUUUCUCACUCUCUCACGCCGCUCCGACGACCGGAGAUCGAGGUUCCGGCUAGCUCCGCCAUCAUUUUCGACAACCACAACCACUCUCCGACACCCUCCUUGCUUCUCUGAUGAUGACGGCUGAAGAUGAUGUUUCGCUAUGAAGAUGAUCGAAGAUGAUGAUGUUGACGCUGGUUAUGGUUGACGACGACGAUGGUGCCUCGGAACUCCGGAAGCCGUGAUGUAUACGUCCGGUGACGGCGGAGAGUCGCCGGCGACAGUGGCGUCAGGGCAGUGGUGGUAGCUGUGCUAACAGGCCACUUCAUCUCAGAUACGUUCGGUUCAGUCAAGUCCGGCUUAGAUUCAGGCGACACGGUUCAACUCGGUUUGGUUCGGUUCAGGUUCUCCUCGGGUCAGACGUGGUUCGGGUUUCGCAGCGGGUCAACAACUCAACAGUACAAGGUAUCGCAUCUCAAUUCACAGUACAAGCUGUUUAUUGGAUGCUAAGGAAGUUUAUGAUAGGUCGGGUUUGUGACUUACGGUUCUGCUGAUGAGGUCAAUAGUGCAAUUUGAGCCAUAAAUGACGUUGAUCUUGAUGAUAGAAAUAUCGGCCACAAAGGUGUCAGUUUUAAAGAAUUAAAAGGUUAAAUCAAGCAGAGGGCUGAAUAAGAAAGGCGCGCACAUGGUUAUUUAUUGAUCAUGGAAAUUAGGAGAAGGUGAUACAAUUUAUCCGUCAAUAUGAGGUAUUUUGACAAACAUUGAAGUAUUCUAGCCUCUAGGUAGCAUACUAGCAUUUGGAAUUCAGACUACUAGAUACUGAUGAGAAAAAAAAGACACAUCAACAUGUGCAGCUUCACGUGUGUUUAAUUUAACGUAUCAUCAUGGAUACUAUUUACAUUUUGAUUUGUUAAUUUAAUACCAAUCUGUUAGACAAUAGUAUUUAAUUACUACAUCUACAUGUUGAAGUUCAUGUAAAUGACUAUUGUAAUGUAUAGAGGGAAAAUGCAUUCAACAUUUAUUCCACGGGUCAGCAAAUUGGGACGGAAGUAAAUGCAACUAAUUGAGGGAUCAUCUGAGAUGCAAUGACAGAACAAUAGGAUGUACCAGCCAAGAAAACAUUUGCUGCCCUCGCGACGUGCUCAAGUUAGGAAGCGGGCUCUCAGCUCUACUAAUCCUUUGUAUCCAAAAUCAGUUAUGAGGCGCGUAUUUGUCUGUGUUUGUUUCAACGGCUUACAUCCAAUCAAAGCGAACCAUCCUCGGUUUACCUCUUCGCAACAACCUACAUGGAAUGAAAAAUGGAAUGCGAGGAUGACCUAAAUUGGCAGGUCCCGCCGCAACGCGGCGGGUACUUCUACUAGUUGAAAUUAUAUUAUAUAGCCUUUAUUUAGUACACUAUGGCCCCCGGCUUUCACUAUUCCUACAUCCUUAAAUCUUAUUCUAACGAUUUGUUUUUUA
Long non-coding RNA from Helianthus annuus (common sunflower), 1576 nucleotides. RefSeq lists it as uncharacterized. The record is from RefSeq and is a predicted model, not a curated record. NCBI's taxonomy places the organism in Eukaryota, Viridiplantae, Streptophyta, Magnoliopsida, Asterales, Asteraceae. The transcript has 7 exons.